CGAGGCCGCGCGGGAGAGUCCCCGUCCACGACGCCGGUUGUCGUGCGUGGGGCGCCGAAGGAGCAAGUCCUCCCCGGAAUCUCUCAGGCAACCGUAACCGCGUGGGCGAG
This 110-nucleotide non-coding RNA is filed under the name Wenjunlia vitaminophila. RNAcentral describes it as "Streptomyces vitaminophilus Glycine sequence". It matches the Rfam family "Glycine riboswitch aptamer". From Rfam's summary of the family: This family represents the bacterial glycine riboswitch. Glycine riboswitches usually consist of two metabolite-binding aptamers domains with similar structures in tandem. The aptamers cooperatively bind glycine to regulate the expression of downstream genes. Lineage: Bacteria; Bacillati; Actinomycetota; Actinomycetes; Kitasatosporales; Streptomycetaceae. The record is from Rfam by way of RNAcentral.